Molecule: ribosomal RNA, 279 nt
Filed under: uncultured bacterium
Lineage: Bacteria
Description: partial 16S ribosomal RNA
Rfam family: Bacterial small subunit ribosomal RNA
Source: RNAcentral
UGCCAGCCGCCGCGGUAAGACGGGGGGAAUUAGUGUUAUUCGGAAUGAUUGGGCGUAAAGGGUAAGUAGGCGGUAAAUAAAGUUAGAAACUAAAGCUCAUGGCUUAACUAUGAAUCAGUUUCUAAAACUUAUUUACUUGAGUUUGGGAGGGGAUAGUGCAAUUUCCAAAGGAGAGAUAGAAUUCGAAGAGAUUGGAAGGAGCACCAGAGGCGAAGGCGACUAUCUGGACCAUAACUGACGCUGAGGUACGAAAGCAUGGGUAGCGAACAGGAUUAGAUA